CUUGCUCUUUCCGGAAUUGAGUGGCAAACGGGUGAGUAACACGUGAGCAACCUGCCUUUCAGAGGGGGAUAACGGCUGGAAACGGUCGCUAAUACCGCAUGAUGUGUUCGGAUGGCCCAUGGAAGAAAAGGUGGCCUCUACCUGUAAGCUAUCGCCUGAAGAGGGGUUUGCGUCUGAUUAGCUGGUUGGAGGGGUAACGGCCCACCAAGGCGACGAUCAGUAGCCGGUCUGAGAGGAUGAACGGCCACACUGGAACUGAGACACGGUCCAGACUCC
This 276-nucleotide ribosomal RNA is filed under the name uncultured Dialister sp. RNAcentral's name for it is "partial 16S ribosomal RNA". It matches the Rfam family "Bacterial small subunit ribosomal RNA", at positions 74 to 339 of the family's 1533-position model. Lineage: Bacteria; Bacillati; Bacillota; Negativicutes; Veillonellales; Veillonellaceae. The record is from RNAcentral.